UACGGAGUGUGCAAGCGUUACUCGGAAUCACUGGGCAUAAAGCGCGCGUAGGCGGAACCGCAAGUCGGGUGUGAAAUCCCUCAGCUUAACUGAGGAACUGCAUCCGAUACUGCCUUUCUUGAGGACGAGAGGGGAGAGUGGAACUUCUGGUGGAGCGGUGAAAUGCGUAGAUAUCAGAAGGAACACCGGUGGCGAAGGCGACUCUCUGGCUCGUAUCUGACGCUGAGGCGCGAAAGCUUGGGUAGCAAACGGG
This 253-nucleotide ribosomal RNA is filed under the name uncultured bacterium. Its description in RNAcentral is "partial 16S ribosomal RNA". It matches the Rfam family "Bacterial small subunit ribosomal RNA", at positions 524 to 776 of the family's 1533-position model. The record is from RNAcentral.